UGAGCAACCUGCCCCUGGCUCUGGGAUAACCCCGGGAAACCGGAGCUAAUACCGGAUACGAGACCUCGUGGCAUCACGAGGGCUGGGAAGUUUUUUCGGCCAGGGAUGGGCUCGCGGCCUAUCAGCUAGUUGGUGAGGUAACGCCCACCAAGGCGACGACGGGUAGCCGGCCUGAGAGGGCGACCGGCCACACUGGGACUGAGACACGGUCCAGACUCCUACGGGAGCA
RNAcentral lists this ribosomal RNA (229 nucleotides) under uncultured bacterium. RNAcentral's name for it is "partial 16S ribosomal RNA". It matches the Rfam family "Bacterial small subunit ribosomal RNA", at positions 118 to 347 of the family's 1533-position model. The record is from RNAcentral.